AGAGUUUGAUCAUGGCUCAGAUUGAACGCUGGCGGCAGGCCUAACACAUGCAAGUCGAACGGUAACAGGAAGCAGCUUGCUGCUUCGCUGACGAGUGGCGGACGGGUGAGUAAUGUCUGGGAAACUGCCUGAUGGAGGGGGAUAACUACUGGAAACGGUGGCUAAUACCGCAUAACGUCGCAAGACCAAAGAGGGGGACCUUCGGGCCUCUUGCCAUCAGAUGUGCCCAGAUGGGAUUAGCUUGUUGGUGAGGUAAUGGCUCACCAAGGCGACGAUCCCUAGCUGGUCUGAGAGGAUGACCAGCCACACUGGAACUGAGACACGGUCCAGACUCCUACGGGAGGCAGCAGUGGGGAAUAUUGCACAAUGGGCGCAAGCCUGAUGCAGCCAUGCCGCGUGUAUGAAGAAGGCCUUCGGGUUGUAAAGUACUUUCAGCGGGGAGGAAGGUGUUGCGGUUAAUAACCGCAGCAAUUGACGUUACCCGCAGAAGAAGCACCGGCUAACUCCGUGCCAGCAGCCGCGUAAUACGGAGGGUGCAAGCGUUAAUCGGAAUUACUGGGCGUAAAGCGCACGCAGGCGGUCUGUCAAGUCGGAUGUGAAAUCCCCGGGCUCAACCUGGGAACUGCAUUCGAAACUGGCAGGCUUGAGUCUUGUAGAGGGGGGUAGAAUUCCAGGUGUAGCGGUGAAAUGCGUAGAGAUCUGGAGGAAUACCGGUGGCGAAGGCGGCCCCCUGGACAAAGACUGACGCUCAGGUGCGAAAGCGUGGGGAGCAAACAGGAUUAGAUACCCUGGUAGUCCACGCCGUAAACGAUGUCUACUUGGAGGUUGUGCCCUUGAGGCGUGGCUUCCGGAGCUAACGCGUUAAGUAGACCGCCUGGGGAGUACGGCCGCAAGGUUAAAACUCAAAUGAAUUGACGGGGGCCCGCACAAGCGGUGGAGCAUGUGGUUUAAUUCGAUGCAACGCGAAGAACCUUACCUGGUCUUGACAUCCACAGAACUUUCCAGAGAUGGAUUGGUGCCUUCGGGAACUGUGAGACAGGUGCUGCAUGGCUGUCGUCAGCUCGUGUUGUGAAAUGUUGGGUUAAGUCCCGCAACGAGCGCAACCCUUAUCCUUUGUUGCCAGCGAUUAGGUCGGGAACUCAAAGGAGACUGCCAGUGAUAAACUGGAGGAAGGUGGGGAUGACGUCAAGUCAUCAUGGCCCUUACGACCAGGGCUACACACGUGCUACAAUGGCGCAUACAAAGAGAAGCGACCUCGCGAGAGCAAGCGGACCUCAUAAAGUGCGUCGUAGUCCGGAUUGGAGUCUGCAACUCGACUCCAUGAAGUCGGAAUCGCUAGUAAUCGUGGAUCAGAAUGCCACGGUGAAUACGUUCCCGGGCCUUGUACACACCGCCCGUCACACCAUGGGAGUGGGUUGCAAAAGAAGUAGGUAGCUUAACCUUCGGGAGGGCGCUUACCACUUUGUGAUUCAUGACUGGGGUGAAGUCGUAACAAGGUAACCGUAGGGGAACCUGCGGUUGGAUCACCU
This 1529-nucleotide ribosomal RNA is filed under the name Salmonella enterica subsp. enterica. Its description in RNAcentral is "bacterial SSU rRNA". It matches the Rfam family "Bacterial small subunit ribosomal RNA". The record is from RNAcentral. Lineage: Bacteria; Pseudomonadati; Pseudomonadota; Gammaproteobacteria; Enterobacterales; Enterobacteriaceae.